RNAcentral lists this ribosomal RNA (375 nucleotides) under uncultured bacterium. RNAcentral's name for it is "bacterial SSU rRNA". It matches the Rfam family "Bacterial small subunit ribosomal RNA", at positions 521 to 896 of the family's 1533-position model. The record is from RNAcentral.
UAAGACGGAGGGUGCUAGCGUUGUCCGGAAUCACUGGGCGUAAAGGGCGCGCAGGCGGCCCCGCCCGUCGGGCGUGAAAGCCCGGGGCUCAACCCCGGAACGGCGCCCGAGACGGCGGGGCUGGAGACCGGGAGAGGAGGGUGGAAUAGCCAGUGUAGAGGUGAAAUUCGUAGAUAUUGGCUGGAACACCGGUGGCGAAAGCGGCUCUCUGGCCCGGGUCUGACGCUGAGGCGCGAAAGCGUGGGGAGCAAACAGGAUUAGAUACCCUGGUAGUCCACGCCCUAAACGAUGUGCGCUGGGCGUCGGGGGGCUUGCCCCUCGGUGCCGGAGCCAACGCGGUAAGCGCACCGCCUGGGGAGUACGGCCGCAAGGUUA